Molecule: ribosomal RNA, 458 nt
Filed under: uncultured bacterium
Lineage: Bacteria
Description: partial 16S ribosomal RNA
Rfam family: Bacterial small subunit ribosomal RNA
Source: RNAcentral
CCUACGGGUGGCAGCAGUGAGGAAUAUUGGUCAAUGGGCGAGAGCCUGAACCAGCCAAGUCGCGUGAGGGAGUACUUCCCUAUUGGUUGUAAACCUCUUUUGUCGGGGCGCAAAAGCCGGACGUGUCCGGCUGUGAGAGUACCCCAAGAACAAGCCUCGGCUAACUCCGUGCCAGCAGCCGCGGUAAUCCGGAGGAUGCGAGCGUUAUCCGGAUCUAUUGGGGUUAAAGGGUGCGCAGGCGGAUUUUUAAGUCAGCGGUCAAAUCGUGGGGCUCACCCCCAUCCAGCCGUUGAAACUGGGGAUCUAGAGUGUGCGAGAGGUAUGCGGAAUGCGUGGUGUAGCGGUGAAAGGCAUAGAUAUCACGCAGAACCCCGAUUGCGAAGGCAGCAUACCGGUGCACAACUGACGCUCAGGCACGAAAGCGUGGGUAUCGAACAGGAUUAGAUACCCUUGUAGUC